Long non-coding RNA from Nematolebias whitei (Rio pearlfish), 485 nucleotides. RefSeq lists it as uncharacterized. The transcript is spliced from 2 exons. Lineage: Eukaryota; Metazoa; Chordata; Actinopteri; Cyprinodontiformes; Rivulidae. The record is from RefSeq and is a predicted model, not a curated record.
GGAGGCCCGGGAUUCUGGUGCUGAUCAACGACGCUGACUGGGAGCUCAUGGGGGAGCUGGGCUAUCGGCUACACGACAACGACAACAUCGUGUUUAUUUCUACGCUCCACGGAGGAUAAAACUAGAACCGUUCGAGGCUUUUCUCCACAUGCUGUGAACCGACAGCCCCCCCUCUGCGUGCUGCCACAUCCCAACAACGAGCCUCCUCAUUGGACGCUGAUGGUGUCGACGCAGUCCGACAGUUGAUGACGCUCAGCAGGAAAGAGAUGGAGAUCCAAGAAAAUAUAUUUAUUUUGGAUCAAACACACCAGCCCUGAAGGUUGGAUGUCAUCCUGAAGAAAAAAAGAAAACACUUCAAUCUUCCUUCCUCAUAAGUGUUUACAUUUCAUUAGUUCAUUUUCUUACAGAACAUGUUAAAAUACUGUAAGGGUGAUUAAACUUUGUUUUACAGCUGCAAAUAUUUCCAUUAAACCCUGAUCAUUUUA